GACGAACGCUGGCGGCGUGCCUAAUACAUGCAAGUCGAACGCUGAAGAGAGGAGCUUGCUCUUCUGGGAUGAGUUGCGCACGGGUGAGUAACGCGUAGAUAACCUGCCUUGUAGCGGGGGAUAACUAUUGGAAACGAUAGCUAAUACCGCAUAACAAUGGAUGACACAUGUCUUUUAUUUGAAAGGGGCAAUUGCUCCACUACAAGAUGGACCUGGGUUGUAUUAGCUAGUAGGUGAGGUAAUGGCUCACCUAGGCGACGAUACAUAGCCGACCUGAGAGGGGGGUCGGCCACACUGGGACUGAGACACGGCCCAGACUCCUACGGGGGGCAGCAGUAGGGGAUCUUCGGCAAUGGGGGGAAACCUGAACGGGCAACGCCGCGUGGGUGAAGAAGGUUUUCGGGUUGUAAAGCUCUGUUGUAAGGCAAGAAAGAGUUGGAGAGUGGAAAGUGCACGCUAUGACGGUAGCUUACCAGAAAGGGACGGCUAACUACGUG
Molecule: ribosomal RNA, 497 nt
Filed under: uncultured bacterium
Lineage: Bacteria
Description: partial 16S ribosomal RNA
Rfam family: Bacterial small subunit ribosomal RNA
Source: RNAcentral